This 119-nucleotide ribosomal RNA is filed under the name Pteropus alecto (black flying fox). The record is from RNAcentral. Lineage: Eukaryota; Metazoa; Chordata; Mammalia; Chiroptera; Pteropodidae.
GUCCAGGGCCACGCCACCCUGAACAAGCCGGAUCCCGUCUGAUCUCGGAAGCUAAGCAGGGUCGGGCCUGGUUAGUACUUGGAUGGGAGACCACCUAGGAAGACCAGGUGCUGCAGGCU